UCAGUUAGCUGUGAAGUCUUCAACUUCGGCCUCGUAUUUUAGCCUUUAUUUGUUUACUUUUUUAGCAAAUUGGCAUCACUAAAAGUAUGCCGAAUGAGCUAAUAUCACUUCCUGUUUAUAAUUUACUCGCUGUUGUACAGAUAGCUUACACUGGAUUAGUUUGAUACUGAAAGAAACUUAAAAACGAGACGAUUCUCGGGCAGGUUCGGCAAUUGUGAGGAGCGUCUGUUUCCCUGUGAUUUCUAAACUGAUUUUUCGGACGUGUAUUCAGGACGGACAUCAGAGACAGUGACAUCUUCGGAAAGGCAGUUCCCUCCAUCUGCUCAGAGGUCCAGAUCCUGCAUCAUCUUCACUGUCUACCUCAGGACCAAAGCAGCUCCUGGACUGGUCGUCCUCAUGCUCCAUUCGCUCUUCUUCUGCAUCAGACCCCUGAGAGCUCUGCCCAGCUUCACUCACUGGUUAGGAAACAUGACAAUCAGCAGUUCCCUCCAUCUGCUCAGAGGUCCAGAUCCUGCAUCAUCUUCACCGUCUCCUUCAGAACCAAAGCAGCUCCUGAACUGGUCGUCUUCAUGCUCCAUUCGCUCUUCUUCUGCAUCAGACCCCUGAGAGCUCUGCCCAGCUUCUCUCACUGGUUAGGAAACAUGACAAUCAGCAGUUCCCUCCAUCUGCUCAGAGGUCCAGAUCCUACAUCAUCUUCACCGUCUCCUUCAGAACCAAAGCAGCUCCUGAACUGGUCGUCUUCAUGCUCCAUUCGCUCUUCUUCUGCAUCAGACCCCUGAGAGCUCUGCCCAGCUUCUCUCACUGGUUAGGAAACAUGACAAUCAGUGAACGAUGUGUCAAGAGGCAAAACCAGCAAAAUGACAUUUGGUGAAGGAGAGCACAGAGAGACCCCGUUUAAAAUCUCAGCCUUCAAAGGCUUUGGGGUGAACGUUGCUGGGAAGAAUUUCCACCAUCCAGGAG
This is a long non-coding RNA of Acanthopagrus latus (yellowfin seabream), 960 nucleotides long. RefSeq lists it as uncharacterized. Lineage: Eukaryota; Metazoa; Chordata; Actinopteri; Spariformes; Sparidae. The record is from RefSeq and is a predicted model, not a curated record. The transcript has 5 exons.